RNAcentral lists this long non-coding RNA (612 nucleotides) under Manihot esculenta (cassava). RNAcentral describes it as "long non-coding RNA (MESC_LNC003715)". Lineage: Eukaryota; Viridiplantae; Streptophyta; Magnoliopsida; Malpighiales; Euphorbiaceae. The record is from RNAcentral.
GUGGUUUGAGUUUUCUUUUUAAGUUUCAAUUUGCUUUUCUUGUCGUGUAGGUUAUAUGGUUUUAUUGUGAGAAAACUAUUAUUUUUUAACGAACUUGGUGUAGGUUAUAUGGUUUUAUUGUGAGAAAACUAUUAUUUUUUAACGAACUUGGAUUCGACGAGGAUUCCAAUUGGCUUUUGAGAAUGAUAUUCUUUGCAUUUAUGUGGCAUUUGGGGAUUGUACUACUAUGUCCAGCGAGUAAUUCUUGUAUGUCGUUAACCAGUUGCUCGUUUGGUUGGUUAAAUGAUCGUCUUCAAUGAUCUUAUUUCGGUUUGAUCGAGUUUAGUCUUUUAUUACAUGUAACUUUUCUCUUUUUUCUGGUGGUCAAUCUUUGGCUAUGUAUUUAUUGUUUGUGUUUUGCUCAUUCUUUUAUUUUUAAUGCUCUCUAUAGUUAUGUGCAGAAAGAAAUGUUGAUACGACAAUGAAGAGGUCGAUUCUAGUGCAAGUGAUGUUUCAGUCAAUUUGAGUUUAGCUGUGUCCUCUUUGACUUAAUCAAUUUAAUUGCUUAUAUUUAGUUCGAUUUUAUCGAUUUUUUAAUUUGACUUAUUUUAAUUUAAUUUCAUCAAAACCGUU